CCGGGAAAAUGCCUAGUGGACAUGGAAUCUGCCCGGUAAGCGGAACACUGUGGGUUCGAUUCCCAUCCCUGGA
Cordylochernes scorpioides is the source of this 73-nucleotide non-coding RNA. The record is from the annotation of a GenBank genome assembly. NCBI's taxonomy places the organism in Eukaryota, Metazoa, Arthropoda, Arachnida, Pseudoscorpiones, Chernetidae.